Long non-coding RNA from Panicum virgatum (switchgrass), 769 nucleotides. RefSeq lists it as uncharacterized. The transcript has 2 exons. The record is from RefSeq and is a predicted model, not a curated record. NCBI's taxonomy places the organism in Eukaryota, Viridiplantae, Streptophyta, Magnoliopsida, Poales, Poaceae.
GCCUGGGCUGGGGUGCCGGGGAAGCAAGCGCAGCCAACCAACGCCUUCGAUUCGGUCGCCUCCGCCUGGUUGGCACAGUUGGGGUGCUCUCCUCCCAGCCUUUUCUUUCCUUUCCUCUUUGGCUUUGUCGUUCCAAGAUCCAAGCUCCGCUGAUUUCGGAUCUGCGUCGUCGCCGGGUAGAUCCCUGCGCGGCUCUCGUUCCCCACGCCGGCCCCGGACGCUGGCAGGUCUCAGCGACGCCCGUCGGUUAGGAGGCGGCGGGGCCCGACGUCUCGGCGCCGGCGUCCGGCUGUUCCGCGGCGAGAUCGUCCGGAGCCGGAGCGGCUGCAUGGUACUCCGGAUUGGUCUCCGGGACGCGUCGGCCGACGAGGAGCUCGCUCCUGGCGCGGUACCCGUACGCGCUCCUCCCAAUCCUGUAAAGUAUCUUCAGCGACGAACCAAAUGCCUAGAAGAGGCUUCUGGGUUCUGACCGAUCUAUCCGCCUCCACACCGGUGGGAUUUCACCGGCCCGAAUACCCUGACUUGCCCUCGGACACAAAUCAGAGGCGCUGAUGAAUCGUGUGUCCUCGUCUUCAGAUGGCCAAACUUUUUUCUCGAGAAGUUCCAGACCACAGAUUUCCUCAUGGAACCACGGUCAGCAUCAUCCAGGCUUGUCUGGUAAUAAUCACUGAACCCGUCACAUUACCUGAACCUAAACUAUUACCACCAGCCACUGCUCCUGUGGCAAACGGAAGGAAAGAUGCCAUGGUCCUGCUGGAGACUGGAGCCA